UUACUAUUUCAGGAAAUUGAUGAACCUGCAUUGAUUCCACAUAUAGCUGAAGCCAGCUCCCGCAAGUAUCCUUAUGAAGUCUUAUUUAGGAGCUUGCACAAGCUGCUUAUGGAUACUGCUAGUUCUGAGUAUCUUUUCUGUGAUGAUUUCUUUGGGAAAGAAUCUAUAUUUUAUGAAAUAUUUGCAGGUCCAUUUGUG
This is a long non-coding RNA of Camellia sinensis, 198 nucleotides long. RefSeq lists it as uncharacterized. NCBI's taxonomy places the organism in Eukaryota, Viridiplantae, Streptophyta, Magnoliopsida, Ericales, Theaceae. The record is from RefSeq and is a predicted model, not a curated record.